AUUCGGGCUGACAGCGGCAUUUAUGAGAGCAAAUGUCUGUCCCUGCGCAAUUUCUGUGGGGAUAGUUGCAGUCAGGUCUACAGGAUUUGCUUAAAAAUUUCCAAGACCUGGGUGUGUCUGACAGCCUGGACCUCAACCUCAAAAAGGAACUAGCUCCUCUCUGAUUUCCUUGGGACACCUGGGAGCAAGCACAGGAGCCCAUGGAGCCACGGAGAGUGUCACUUCAAGCGCCUCCUGGGAGCUCUUGCAGAUGCCAAGUGCUCUGCCCUUCCCCAUUACCUGUGAUUUCAAGUGGGCUUAGAGAUUCUCCAAGAUGUGAGAUGAAAGGCCAAGAAACUAAUUCCUCUGACUUCUUCAGAGAACCGCACAGUCUCUUGAGCAGGAGUUAACCAGAAGAGUGACGGUUGUGCAUGGACGGCCCUGGUUCACAGUCCAGCUCUGCCAUCCCUAGCAUGAUACCUGGAUGAAGCCCUGUGGAUUCUACCUCUGGAUCAUCUCAUCCAAAAUGCCACCCGUCAGUUUCCACUGGUCCUCCUUGGUUCAAGGCGUCCUCAUCUUCACCCUCCACUGAAGCAACAACUCCUCACGGAUCUUCCUGCUUCCAAUCUUGCCUUUCUCUUUUCUCUCUUACCCAAACCCAUAGGCAUGUCCUCUUCAGAUCAUGAAUAAUAUUCCUAAAACACAAACAGGAUCAGAUUCCCCCCUUGUAAAAUUCCUUCAGUGGAUGUCUUCUAACUUCAAGGGAAAGGCUAGGACCCUUGGAUCUUCCAAAUCCAGACCAGGCUGACUGCUCUAGCCUUCUUCCAACAUCCACGACACCCAUUUUGCACCCAAUGCUCUAGGCACUGGGAGCUACUCACAGUUCCCCUGACCUGACAAACUGUUCAGACAUCCACACAUUUCCUAGUGCUGUCUGCACCUGCAUAAAUUGCCCUCUGCUUUCCUCAUGUCCCCUCUACUGUUAAAACCUGCUCAUCUCUUAUUACUCAGCUCCACUGUUCUCUUCUCGCUCUACAGAAAAGGUUCCAGGCUCCAGUUAUGACUCUCCUCUAUGUCCCAAUCAGAACACAUUCGGUUCCCAUUAGAGUCUCUAGGACAAUCUAAUCUUGCAUUACCUUUUCCUCUAUAGGACCACAGCUUGUUGAAGAAAAUGAACAGUCUCCCUGGUACCAUUUGUUUUUGUAUCCCCAGCAUCUAUGGCAUUGAGUACAUAGAAUCCUUGGGAUGACCAGCAAUUGAGCUGUGGGCAGAACAAGAACAAUCAGCAAAGGAGACUGAGAAGCACCAGCCAGAGAAGCAGGAGGAGAACCGGUAGAGAGACAGCUACUGCAGCCACCAAAGGGAGAAAUGUUCUGCUGGGAGGAAAAUGAGAGCCUGUGGAAGUGAGCCAAAGAAUCUUCUGCCUGGGGAACAUUCACUGAUGCUUCAAGUGCUGGAAGAUCUGUGACUCCCAAAU
This 1456-nucleotide long non-coding RNA is filed under the name Homo sapiens (human). RNAcentral describes it as "HSALNT0357755". The record is from RNAcentral. Lineage: Eukaryota; Metazoa; Chordata; Mammalia; Primates; Hominidae.